GAUGAACGCUGGCGGCGUGCUUAACACAUGCAAGUCGAACGGGAAACCUUUUAUUGAAGCUUCGGCAGAUUUAGCUGGUUUCUAGUGGCGGACGGGUGAGUAACGCGUGGGUAACCUGCCUUGUACAGGGGGAUAACAGUCAGAAAUGACUGCUAAUACCGCAUAAGCGCACAGGACCGCAUGGUCCGGUGUGAAAAACUCCGGUGGUAUAAGAUGGACCCGCGUUGGAUUAGCUAGUUGGCAGGGUAACGGCCUACCAAGGCGACGAUCCAUAGCCGGCCUGAGAGGGUGAACGGCCACAUUGGGACUGAGACACGGCCCAGACUCCUACGGGAGGCAGCAGUGGGGAAUAUUGCACAAUGGGGGAAACCCUGAUGCAGCGACGCCGCGUGAAGGAAGAAGUAUCUCGGUAUGUAAACUUCUAUCAGCAGGGAAGAAUUAGGACGGUACCUGACUAAGAAGC
RNAcentral lists this ribosomal RNA (463 nucleotides) under uncultured bacterium. RNAcentral's name for it is "bacterial SSU rRNA". It matches the Rfam family "Bacterial small subunit ribosomal RNA", at positions 28 to 491 of the family's 1533-position model. The record is from RNAcentral.